This is a long non-coding RNA of Alligator mississippiensis (American alligator), 303 nucleotides long. RefSeq lists it as uncharacterized. The transcript has 2 exons. NCBI's taxonomy places the organism in Eukaryota, Metazoa, Chordata, Crocodylia, Alligatoridae. The record is from RefSeq and is a predicted model, not a curated record.
CCCUGCGUGCCCGUGGGGAUGGCGCCGUCCUGGCACCGUGUCCCCGUCAGAGCCGAGGCCCCUCCUGCCACCGACCCUGGGCAAGGCCCUGGCAAUCUCAGGCUUUCGCUAAAAGAAGUAAUAACCCGGGUGUAGACGUGACCGACGGUGACGUAUUGGAGGCCUUGUCAAGACGCUCAGGGAGGCCCUGACAGCACGGCCUCCGGGCCCAGGGGCACCACCUUGGCGUUGCUGCCUCGGGUUUGCCUAGCUCGCUGUUUGCUGAAGCUCUGUUUGUGACCUAGCAAAUUCCUGCAUAUUUCA